This is a non-coding RNA of Callorhinus ursinus (northern fur seal), 393 nucleotides long. The record is from RefSeq and is a predicted model, not a curated record. Lineage: Eukaryota; Metazoa; Chordata; Mammalia; Carnivora; Otariidae.
CCUUUAUUACCCUUUGUGUCAUCCUCCACAGCUCCAGGGAAGGCACUCAAAAGUGGGGGGCAGGAAAGAUGCUUUUUGAGGAAAUCAGUUUCUACGUGUGGGAAGUAGAUAUUGAAGGUUAUAUGGUUUACAGACAAGAUCUUUAAAAUAUAGAUACUCAAGGACCAAGGAAAUAAAUACCAGAAGCCAAGAGCACAGAAUAUUUUCUUUCAUCAAUCCAUAGAACCCUGAUACUUCUCUAAUUCCAUCACACACAAAGUAAUGACCACCUUGGCAGAUGGCCACAGAGGAUGUCAACAGUUUUUUGGAGGCAAGCAAUGAAAUGUUUAUAUUAUGAGUUUUCUGUUGUUAAGUAUGUGGAAACAGGUAGUUUUAGCUUGCAUUUUAAUGAAG